This 245-nucleotide ribosomal RNA is filed under the name uncultured bacterium. Its description in RNAcentral is "partial 16S ribosomal RNA". It matches the Rfam family "Bacterial small subunit ribosomal RNA", at positions 524 to 767 of the family's 1533-position model. The record is from RNAcentral.
UACGGAGGGUGCAAGCAUUAAUCGGAAUUACUGGGCGUAAAGGGCGCGUAGGCGUCUAAGAAAGUUGCGUGUGAAAUAUCAUAGCUUAACUAUGGUGCGGCACGCAAAACUACUUGGAUAUGAGGUAAAGUGGGGAAAAGGGAAUUCCACGUGUAGCGGUGAAAUGCGUAGAUAUGUGGAGGAACACCAGAGGCGAAGGCGCUUUUCUAACUUUAACCUGACGCUGAGGCGCGAAAGCAAGGGGA